RNAcentral lists this long non-coding RNA (2218 nucleotides) under Zea mays. RNAcentral's name for it is "long non-coding RNA (ZMAY_LNC000309)". The record is from RNAcentral. Lineage: Eukaryota; Viridiplantae; Streptophyta; Magnoliopsida; Poales; Poaceae.
CCCCUUGGCUGGACGCCCCCUCCCCCUAUGGCAGCCAUCCUCCAUUGCUUCCUCCCCCAAGAUCUCCUCCUACGCAGCAAGGAUCGAGAAAAGGAGGGGCACGUUGAAUUGAAGAGGAAGAGAGGAUCAAGGAGAUGUUCUUCCCCAUCUCCUCUUGAAGAUUUCUUGGGGAAACCCUAGGUAUGGAUGAGAUCCUUGUUCCUCCCUGUAAUUAUAGGCUUUUGGAGGUUGUAGAUCAUGGGAAUUAAAGGAUUAGAGGUUGGAUUGGAUGUGGGGUUAGGUUUUGAUCUCGAAUUUAGUUUUCUGCAGAAUGGCAGAUUCGACAGUUUCUGUUCAUGCCAGUUUUCCGUGGUCUUAGUGGCCUCAAAAAAAUAAAAAGUCUAUGUAUGAGUCGUAGAUAAUUUGUAGAUCUUUCCGUGGCCGUGAAGAACACCUCAAUCGGAGAUCCGACCAGAGAGUUAUUGCAGUUUUACUAUAGCAGUUUUUCAGUCUCAUAAUUCUGUGCAGAAUCUGUUCUCUUAAGAUUUAGGCAAUUUUAUCAACAGAAUUAAACUGUGGGUUGGUAAAAGAAGUUGUAGAUAAUUUUAUAAGCUUUCCAGAUUGUUAAAGAGUGCAUUCAUAUGAUUUGUGAAACUCCAGUUAUGUUUGUUUUACUGUGGCUGUUCCUGUUUACCUGACAAAAAUGAGUGGGUCUGUUCACUGGUGGGUUUCAUCUAGUAAAUGGCCGAAUUGGCUCUUCCAACUAUGGAGACUUUUGUAGAGGGAUAAAAGUUCUUACUUCCAGCAGAAUUUCAUAAUUUUUGGUUCAGCAGUUUUGGAGAUAUCGAAUUUUAAAGUUAACCAUACUGCUGUCUAAAACAGAUUCAGUCAGGUAUCUUGUCAGAUGUUUUAGAACUUGUAGACGGCAGAAUUUAAUUAUCUAUUGAAUACUGAAGUUGUAGAGUAUUUUGUGUAGAUACUCCUAGAGUAUUUGUUUGAUAUCACCGCUGUUUCAAUUUUAAAGAUACAAAAUUAACAAACAGCGUUGCUGCUGUAUGGCAUGUGGUUCAGGGUGGGAGUCUUUCCACUGGGUCUUGGUUUCAAGUGUAGGAGUGUUUUGUUGAUUGAUGGCAAAUGUUUGUGAAAUAUUUGUAUUAAGUUUUAUGCCCACUAGCAGGUGGCUACACUCCAGAUCAUGUCUAGUACAUUUCUUCUUCUUCGAUGAAGGCAAGUGAAUGUAGCGGUGGUUGCUUCCGUUCUGACCUGUUAUUUCUAUCGCCUACACUCUAAUAUUCAGAAGUAUCAGAUUCUUUCAUAAUUGGACUCUAUGGUGAUGCUUUACUUGCUUGAAUUAUACUGAUGCUCAAUCAUAUAUUGAUGAUGAUUAUGAUUUGAGUAUGACUCAUGAGAUUAAUUCACACCCCUGAAGGUAAAUGAAGUAUUAUUUGAGGUUGGUAUUGUAUCUGAAGGUAAAUGAAGUAUUAUUUGAGGUUUGUGUUGUAUCUGAAGGAAGUGAAGUUUAUUGAUAAAUGUAGCAUGCCAUAUACAUUGCAUGACUCAUUUGCAUAUGAAGUUUUGUCGUGACCUAUGGUCCGACCGUACCGGUACAACUUAGCAUCGUACGUUGCCCGAGAAGGGGUACGAUGCGGCUUCAUACCCUUAGAGGUAUGAAGGCAGAGGACAUAUGCAUUGCAUUCAUAUGCAUUCAUUGAAGUGAUAUUUGCAGAUGAUGUGGUUUUAUACCCCAGAGGUAUGAAGAUAGAGUACCUACACAUUGCAUUCCUAUGCAUACAUUGAAGUGAUAUUUGCAGGUAUUGUUGACGCAGGGAAGUGUUAUAGAACCUAUUGUGGUUGUUCGAGGAAAUGAGAUGGUAUUGGUUAUAGUGGGACUACUGAGUUCUAUAUCUACAAGCAUUUCUGAUUUUUAAUUGUGACUCUUUUAAAAUGUUGAUGAAUUCAAUUUGUGGUUUAAAUAUCUCGUCAGAACAAUUAGCUUGCUGAGAUGUUUCAUCUCACUCUUGCAUUACUCAAUGCAGGUGCUUGUUGCUCAUCAAGGGGAGUGGGAAGUAGCAGCACAUCCACCUUCAUUCUCAUAAUAAUGCUGCCCAGACGCAGCCAUGAUUUAAUUAGAAACUUCUUGUCAAAGGAUGUUUGUUUUUAACUAGUCGUGCGCACUGAUUAAUUCAGUUCAUGUUGUUAUGGUUGUCUUCCCAUUGCUAGCAGAUUAUUAAUGUCUUAU